AAUCAACGCUGGCGGCGUGCCUCAGACAUGCAAGUCGAACGCGAAAGUUUCCUUCGGGGAACAAGUAGAGUGGCGCACGGGUGAGUAACACGUAGGUAAUCUACCUUUGGAUGGGGAAUAACAAUCGGAAACGGUUGCUAAUACCGCAUAAUGCAGCGGCACCUAAUGGUGACAGUUGUUAAAGCGGGGGAUCGAAAGACCUCGCGUCUGAAGAGGAGCCUGCGGCGGAUUAGCAGUUGGUAAGGUAAUGGCUUACCAAGGCUACGAUCCGUAACCGGCCUGAGAGGGCGGUCGGUCACACUGACACUGACAUACGGGUCAGACUCCUACGGGAGCAGCAGUCGGGAAUUUGGGCAAUGGGCGAAAGCCUGACCCAGCAACGCCGCGUGAAGGAU
This 395-nucleotide ribosomal RNA is filed under the name uncultured bacterium. Its description in RNAcentral is "bacterial SSU rRNA". It matches the Rfam family "Bacterial small subunit ribosomal RNA", at positions 32 to 409 of the family's 1533-position model. The record is from RNAcentral.